This 433-nucleotide ribosomal RNA is filed under the name uncultured bacterium. RNAcentral describes it as "partial 16S ribosomal RNA". It matches the Rfam family "Bacterial small subunit ribosomal RNA", at positions 29 to 507 of the family's 1533-position model. The record is from RNAcentral.
AACGAACGCUGGCGGCAUGCCUAACACAUGCAAGUCGAACGAGACCUUCGGGUCUAGUGGCGCACGGGUGCGUAACGCGUGGGAACCUGCCCUUAGGUUCGGAAUAACUCCCCGAAAGGGGUGCUAAUACCGGAUAAUGUCUUCGGACCAAAGAUUUAUCGCCUUUGGAUGGGCCCGCGUUGGAUUAGCUAGUUGGUAGGGUAAAAGCCUACCAAGGCGACGAUCCAUAGCUGGUCUGGGAGGAUGAUCCGCCACACUGGGACUGAGACACGGCCCAGACUCCUACGGGAGGCAGCAGUGGGGAAUAUUGGACAAUGGGCGAAAGCCUGAUCCAGCAAUGCCGCGUGAGUGAUGAAGGCCUUAGGGUUGUAAAGCUCUUUUACCCGGGAUGAUAAUGACAGUACCGGGAGAAUAAGCUCCGGCUAACUCCGUG